RNAcentral lists this long non-coding RNA (991 nucleotides) under Struthio camelus australis. RNAcentral describes it as "lncRNA (ENSSCUG00000016359.1)". Lineage: Eukaryota; Metazoa; Chordata; Aves; Struthioniformes; Struthionidae. The record is from RNAcentral.
GAGAUGUACGGAACUAGUAGCAGGAAACCUCCAAAACUGUAGUUAUCAGUAUGGGCCUCAGUGGCUGCUCCGGCCGUCCGUCAAGUCUUGCAGAAGUUGAGUCGUUUCAGCUAGGGCUGCCAAAGGAAGCGCUGGUGAUGGGGCUGCUCACAGUGCUUGGGCGGCACGAGAGAAGAAAGAUGCUGCUGUUUAAAGUUUGCACUGCAGUCUGGAGCCUCGCAGACAGGAAAAGGGCCGGUGGGAUGUCAGCAGCAGCACCGUUGGCCGGGCGCGCGGGCGAGAGGCUCCUCCGCAGCCCGCAGGAGGAGGAGGAAGGACGGCAGCGCCUUCGCGGGAGCAGGGAUGCAGCUUCUGCUGCUCUUCCUGGGUGUCCAGUCCCUGCCCAGCUCAGCGAGCCAAGUUUUCACGUCUAAAAUUACAGCCAUCAAAGCAGUCUUGCAGGUUCAGUGGGAACCUGAGCCCCAGGAUAACCAGCGUGGAAAGCACUGCAUGCUCAGGAGAGGCAUAAAACCGUAUAAACCCCUAUUCUGCAAACUCCAAAAGCUGCUGGAAGAAAAGGCUGCCUUGCCGGCAUUAACCCCGUGGGCAGCUCCCUGCCCGGCAUGCCGAGAGCAGAGCGCGCUGCGUCGGUACGAAACCAGGGCGAGAGGCUGAGCUCAGGCGGGCCAGAGAUUUUAUUGCUCCCAAACCAAGGAGCCUGCUCUGCGGUUUUCAUGAUGGAUCGCUGCCCUUUCGUCUCAUCGUGAUUUGGCUGAAACUCGAGACAGAUGCGUAUCAUCUCUAUGGGCCCGUGGCAUGCCUCAUCUCACUGCUUGACACAAGAACAUACAGCAAGUGCUUCAUGGACAAGAUACAUGUGCUUUGGCUGUAUAAAGUAGUAAUGUUCUUCCUGUAAGAGAAAAAUUUAAUUUUGUCCUGAAUUCCACUAUACCCAAACAGAUCUCCAUUUAUAGCCUGGAUAAUAAAUCAAAGCAACAUGAAGUCUCCUGCA